CUACGGGCCGCUGCAGUGGGGAAUAUUGCACAAUGGAGGAAACUCUGAUGCAGCAACGCCGCGUGGAGGAUGACACAUUUCGGUGCGUAAACUCCUUUUAUAUGAGAAGAUAAUGACGGUAUCAUAUGAAUAAGCUCCGGCUAACUCCGUGCCAGCAGCCGCGGUAAUACGGGGGGAGCAAGCGUUACUCGGAAUCACUAGGCGUAAAGAGCAUGUAGGCUGAUAGAUAAGUUGGAAGUGGAAUCCUAUGGCUUAACCAUAGAACUGCUUCCAAAACUGUCUGUCUAGAAUAUGGGAGAGGUAGAUGGAAUUUCUGGUGUAGGGGUAAAAUCCGUAGAGAUCAGAAGGAAUACCGAUUGCGAAGGUGAUCUACUGGAACAUAAUUGACGCUGAGAUGCGAAAGCGUGGGGAGCAAACAGGAUUAGAUACCCGAGUAGUC
This 439-nucleotide ribosomal RNA is filed under the name uncultured bacterium. RNAcentral describes it as "partial 16S ribosomal RNA". It matches the Rfam family "Bacterial small subunit ribosomal RNA", at positions 339 to 795 of the family's 1533-position model. The record is from RNAcentral.